Molecule: ribosomal RNA, 245 nt
Filed under: uncultured Pseudomonadota bacterium
Lineage: Bacteria; Pseudomonadati; Pseudomonadota
Description: uncultured proteobacterium partial 16S ribosomal RNA
Rfam family: Bacterial small subunit ribosomal RNA
Source: RNAcentral
UACGGGGGGUGUAAGCGUUGUUCGGAAUUACUGGGCGUAAAGGGCGUGCAGGCGGUCACCGCAAGUUGAAUGUGAAAUCCCCGAGCUUAACUUGGGACGUGCGUUCAAGACUGCGGGACUCGAAUACGGGAGAGGGUCGUGGAAUUCCUGGUGUAGAGGUGAAAUUCGUAGAGAUCAGGAGGAACACUCGUGGCGAAGGCGACGACCUGGACCGAUAUUGACGCUGAGACGCGAAAGCGUGGGUA